GCCGGCAGCCAUAUCACCCUGUAGCCCAAGCCUGGUUGCCCACUGAAGCUAAGCAGGGCUGAGCCUGGUCAGUACCUGGAUGGGAGACCUCCUGGGAAAACUAGGUUGCUGCUGGAA
Ribosomal RNA from Sinocyclocheilus anshuiensis, 117 nucleotides. Lineage: Eukaryota; Metazoa; Chordata; Actinopteri; Cypriniformes; Cyprinidae. The record is from Ensembl.